This 479-nucleotide ribosomal RNA is filed under the name uncultured bacterium. RNAcentral describes it as "partial 16S ribosomal RNA". It matches the Rfam family "Bacterial small subunit ribosomal RNA", at positions 28 to 507 of the family's 1533-position model. The record is from RNAcentral.
GAUGAACGCUAGCGGGAGGCCUAACACAUGCAAGCCGAGCGGUAUUGUUUCUUCGGAAAUGAGAGAGCGGCGUACGGGUGCGUAACACGUGUGCAACCUGCCUUUAUCUGGGGGAUAGCCUUUCGAAAGGAAGAUUAAUACUCCAUAAUAUAUUGAACGGCAUCGUUUAAUAUUGAAAGCUCCGGCGGAUAGAGAUGGGCACGCGCAAGAUUAGCCAGUUGGUGAGGUAACGGCUCACCAAGGCGAUGAUCUUUAGGGGGCCUGAGAGGGUGAUCCCCCACACUGGUACUGAGACACGGACCAGACUCCUACGGGAGGCAGCAGUGAGGAAUAUUGAUCAAUGGGUGCAAGCCUGAACCAGCCAUCCCGCGUGAAGGACGACUGCCCUAUGGGUUGUAAACUUCUUUUGUAUAGGGAUAAACCUACCCUCGAGAGGGUAGCUGAAGGUACUAUACGAAUAAGCACCGGCUAACUCCGUG